GACACGCUGGCGGCGUGGAUUAGGCAUGCAAGUCGAACGGUAUCAUCCUUUCGGGGGUGAGAGAGUGGCGAACUGGUGAGUAACACGUAGGUUAUCUACCCUCAAGACGGGGACAACCCAGGGAAACUUGGGCUAAUACCGGAUGUGAGCAACUUUUAGUGUUUGAAAGGUGGCGUAAGCUGUCGCUUGGGGAUGAGCCUGCGUCCUAUUAGUUAGUUGGUGAGGUAACGGCUCACCUAGGCAAUGAUAGGUAGGCGGCCUUAACGGGUGGUCGCCCACACUGGGAUUGAGAUACGGCCCAGACUCCUACGGGAGGCAGCAGUCGAGAAUAGUCUACAAUGGUCGGAAGACUGAUAGUGCGACGCCGCGUGAACGAUGAAUCCCUUCGGGGUGUAAAGUUCUUUUAUAUGUGAGCAGUGCUUCUUAUAUUAACAGUAUGGGGAGAGAGAUAUUAGCAUAUGAAUAAGCGACGGCUAACUCCGUG
Molecule: ribosomal RNA, 484 nt
Filed under: uncultured bacterium
Lineage: Bacteria
Description: bacterial SSU rRNA
Rfam family: Bacterial small subunit ribosomal RNA
Source: RNAcentral